UGCGUAGGUGGCUCGGUAAGUUUGAUGUGAAAUCUCCGGGCUUAACCCGGAAAUGGCAUUGAAUACUAUUGAGCUGGAGGUUUGGAGGGGGGACUGGAAUUCUCGGUGUAGCAGUGAAAUGCGUAGAUAUCGAGAGGAACACCAGUGGCGAAGGCGAGUCCCUGGACAACACCUGACACUGAGGCACGAAAGUGGAGGGCAGAC
RNAcentral lists this ribosomal RNA (204 nucleotides) under uncultured bacterium. Its description in RNAcentral is "partial 16S ribosomal RNA". It matches the Rfam family "Bacterial small subunit ribosomal RNA", at positions 568 to 773 of the family's 1533-position model. The record is from RNAcentral.